AACGAACGCUGGCGGCAUGCCUAACACAUGCAAGUCGAAUGAAGCCUUCGGGCUUAGUGGCGCACGGGUGCGUAACACGUGGGAAUCUGCCCUUUGGUUCGGAAUAACAGUUAGAAAUGACUGCUAAUACCGGAUAAUGACGUAAGUCCAAAGAUUUAUCGCCGAAGGAUGAGCCCGCGUAGGAUUAGGUAGUUGGUGGGGUAAUGGCCCACCAAGCCGACGAUCCUUAGCUGGUCUGAGAGGAUGAUCAGCCACACUGGGACUGAGACACGGCCCAGACUCCUACGGGAGGCAGCAGUGGGGAAUAUUGGACAAUGGGCGAAAGCCUGAUCCAGCAAUGCCGCGUGAGUGAUGAAGGCCUAGGGUUGUAAAGCUCUUUUACCAGGGAUGAUAAUGACAGUACCUGGAGAAUAAAGCUCCGGCUAACUCCGUGCCAGCAGCCGCGGUAAU
RNAcentral lists this ribosomal RNA (450 nucleotides) under uncultured bacterium. RNAcentral's name for it is "bacterial SSU rRNA". It matches the Rfam family "Bacterial small subunit ribosomal RNA", at positions 29 to 524 of the family's 1533-position model. The record is from RNAcentral.